RNAcentral lists this RNase P RNA (337 nucleotides) under SAR86 cluster bacterium. RNAcentral's name for it is "RNase P RNA component class A". It matches the Rfam family "Bacterial RNase P class A". Rfam says of the family: Ribonuclease P (RNase P) is a ubiquitous endoribonuclease, found in archaea, bacteria and eukarya as well as chloroplasts and mitochondria. Its best characterised activity is the generation of mature 5'-ends of tRNAs by cleaving the 5'-leader elements of precursor-tRNAs. Lineage: Bacteria; Pseudomonadati; Pseudomonadota; Gammaproteobacteria. The record is from RNAcentral.
CGAGCUGACCGGGUAAUCGCUGUCAAAUAGAUAGAGGAAAGUCCGGGCUCCAUAGAGAAUGAUGCCAGAUAACGUCUGGGUGCUGUGAAGUAACGGAUAGUGCAACAGAAAAUAAACCGCCUUGUGUUAAAAGGUAAGGGUGAAAAGGUGCGGUAAGAGCGCACCAGACUUUUGGUAACAAAAGUCGUUGGCAAACCCCAUCAGGAGCAAGACCAAAUAGAGACCUGUUAAUGUUUCUCGCAUUAGGUCAGGGUAGGUUGCUAGAGGUUUAUGGCAACAUAAAUCCCAGAGGAAUGAUUACCAAUUACAGAACCCGGCUUAUAGGUCAGCUCAUAUA